Monomorium pharaonis (pharaoh ant) is the source of this 5563-nucleotide long non-coding RNA. RefSeq lists it as uncharacterized. The transcript is spliced from 2 exons. The record is from RefSeq and is a predicted model, not a curated record. NCBI's taxonomy places the organism in Eukaryota, Metazoa, Arthropoda, Insecta, Hymenoptera, Formicidae.
CACCCUUCUUCGGGGGCCCAGAGUUCUCCGCUUGGUUACCUCUUGUUUUUCACCAGUGAAACCGUUUGAUUUCGCAAGAUAUUUCGUCACAUAACCUCGCACCGGCUUGACACACACGUACGUUUCACACGCGCGACAACGGCGACGACGACGCACGUUACAAUCACUGAGAAACUUGGGGACUUACAUACCGGACUAAGCGAACAAAAGAUUUUUCCGAAAAUUUCGGCGUAUUCAAAGGAGACUAGUAUUCACGGAGUUGGCCUGAAGCAGCAGGUAGUAUUUUAACCGUUCAAACUUUGGAUUGGACCACCAAACCCAGCAGCUUCACGGUGCUCUCUCGGAUCGUUCUUUCGCCUCUCGACAUACGGCAAUAUGGCCGUCGCCGCCGCCGCCUCCCAGCAUCACGCUCUUAGCUCCGUGCUUCGGAUUCCCCCCCUCUCCCUUCCCAUUCGCGUCUCACACACGCUCGCGCGUCUCUACUGCCCGCCUUCCCCUCCGUCUCUUUCUCUCUCCCACUCGUCCCCAUUCGCAUGUUUUCCGUCUACGGCCUCUCAGCCUCCCUCGCGCUCCAGAGCCUCGUCCUCCUCUCCUCACUCUCGCUCUUCCGUUUACCUGCGCGCCGCAUAACGCCUUCCCUUCGAGACUAUCUCCCUUCGGCGUUUGCAUUUUUUUAUUUCUCUUUCUCUUUCUUCCGUUCACCGUUUCUUUGCCCUCCCACUUCUGAUGGAGAAAGAGAGAAAGAUGAGAAGAGAAUGGUGGAGGACCCCUCAAGCUCCUCUGAGCCAUCGUUCCUCUCUCCUCCGUUCCUCGCUCCAUCGCUCUCCGCGAGGGACGGUGAGAGUGGUCGGCUGUGUGAGACGAUCGCCGAAGUGCAAGCGAACAAGAGAUAUUGCCGAGAGAGAGAAAGAGAGACAGACAGAAUGGAUAUUACAGGCGCAGGUAGGAGAGACGCGGCAGUGAAGUUGGCGCGCAGGUAGCUGAGAGACAAAGACGAUCUUAUGGACUCUCGCCGAUGUGCGAGCAGGAGCGAUCGUCUCCGCGACGAGUUGCACAGAUACAAACAGAACAUCGAAUCAUCAACAAGGCGGGAUCCUGGCCACCAUGGUAUUAUCGUAUUUCUACAGUCGUCUCUCUCUCUGAUCCGUCGCCUCUUUAUCUCCCCCUCUCCGUCCAGUUACCUCCCGAGAGGAAUAUCCGACGUAAGUUGCCAUGGGAGGAACGAAGACGAACACAGUGUACGCACACGUGCAUUAUCACGUCUCUCCGUCCACAGUUUUACUAUCUUUCUCUCUCUCUCUCUCUCUCCUCCCGCCUUGCCUCCCCUUUCUCUUUCUCUCUCUUUCUGUUUCGUUCUGUCGCUGGUCCCAGCUUCGAGCCGCCUUGCUAACCUGAGAAGGAUACACGCGGCCGAAGGUCCAAAAGCGGAACGAAGACGACCGCGCAGACGUACGUUAUCGCCGGCGUCUCGGCGUCCUUCUUACUUCAGAUUUCAUUCUCCGUCCCGCUCCGGCUUUCCUACCUUGAGAAGGGUAGCCGCGGGGAGGACCGCGAUAGAAACGAGAAGGAGGACACGCACGCACACGUAAAGAUUAUCGUAUCUGAGGCCCUGUGGCCUCUUCGCUUCCACCUCCUCUUCUCCCGUUCUUCCCGCCUCGAUUUUAUAACGCUCGCUCUUUAUCUUGCCACCUUGAGAAGGAUAUCCACAUACCAAACCAUAUCCGAAAGGGAUAUCUAGUAGAAGGACGUAAAGUCAUCUCGCCGAAUGUAUGCGCUAAAUAAGCGCCAGCCGAAUGACGGUCAGAUGCUUCGUCGGAUGGAAAGACAUCUUAGAUGCAUCUAUCUGUUAUAAGUUUUUGUUUUACAAUAGUAUCUUUUUUUAUCCGGCCUAUCGCUAUGCGCGCUAUAAAGAAAGCCCCUCUGCCUGAAACUAUCCGCCUUGGAUGAUCGAGGCAUCUUCCCGCGAGUCAUCGCGAGGCAGACGCGCAUACGCACACAUCAAAGCCUCUUCUCUCAUCUCUCUCGCUAAACGAACAUGGUGAACGCGAUGAACGAGAGAGAGACAGAGAGAGAGAGAGAGAGAGAGAGAGAGAGAGAGAAUCAGAAAAAAGCUUCUUUAUGAAGAAGAGAGCUCCAUCGUCUCGUCUCUUCCCCCUUUCUUUCUACGCCAUUGUGAGAAGGAUAUCCUCGAGGGAGAUUCGCCAAUGGUGGAACGGAGAGAAAUAGUACGUUCAUAUAUGUACGUCCGAUUGAUUCUUUCUUAUACGGGGCACGCGGUAAAAGACGUCUAUGCUGGACGCCGGAUGCUGGAGAGCGAAGUUGCUGCCGGUGCUGCCGGCGUAGUCGCGCGCGAACGGAGAUGGACUCGGGAUCGAAGGAACGAGAGAUACGAGGGGGAAUGUUGGGAUGGAAGGGUGGGAGGGAGAGAGGAUGAAAGAGGAGGGCGUGUGCGUGAGUCCAUGAUGAGACGAAGAGAAGGAGAGAUGAAGCGAGUGAGAGAGAAAGAGAGGAGGAAAAGAGAAGCCGCACGAGCGACGAAGAGAACGGGCGUUGGUUACGCGCACGAAGGGAGAUUAAAAGGAGAAAAAGAAGAUGGAAUUAAAAGAGGAAAAAAAGGGAGAGCCGGGGAGGGAGAGAAAGAGGGAGGAGGGAGGAACAUCGAGGAGAGAAAGAGAGAGAGAGAGAGAGAGGGAGAGAGACCUCGUGAAAAAUGGGCACCCAGCGAGAGAGGACAGCCUCAGGCUACGUCGCGCGAUGCGACCCUGCUCAGGGAGGGAUUCGUUCCUCGUUCGUUUGGGCUCCGAACGCGCGUAUGUGGAUCCGACCAAAUCGACGCGUUUAAUCGCCUCGUAGCCUAGCCCGGGUAUUUUUCUCACACGAGAAUUUCGAGAAGAUACGAGCCGCGCGGCCUGGAUCGUUUUGAAUUCUUCGGAUUGCGCCGACCCUUUUUCUCAGAGAGAUAGCUUGAACGCGACACUUUCCGUGUGACGGAUAAAGAUAAUUCGAACUCGCGCGCCUCUUUCCGUGGGAAUCGUCACGAUCUCCGCACGCUUGUGCCCGCAGCGUGGGUGGCUGUGCACACACUUGCGUAGGUAGCUCGAGUGGCAAAGGAGUAGAAGAGAAGGGGAAAAACCGACGAUCUCUGAGAGGGGUAGAAUCUCGAAAUAUUUUUUCUUCCCCCGGCCAAUUUCUUAGCUCUAUUUUCGCGGUCCAUGGGAUGUCCGUGACAUAGCGAAUUAGCGCGUAUCAGCGAAUGUAUCAGCAGAAAACCAACUGCGGCGAAUCAUCUUCUAGCACUAUCGGCGAAGAAUCGGUCCUGGACGAGCGCGCGUUACGCGCGCGGCUUUCUAACGUCGACCUCGUGAAAGCAGAUCGAAGUCCGAUCCUCGCCGAGAAAAUCCCUCUCUAUUGGCCGUAUCUAUCGACGCGCGCGCGUACAGUCGUAAAGCCGCCCACCUUUCCGCCGUAUAUCUUUCACGCCGACGGGAUAAAACGCGCUCACCGGUCGCAUAUUUAUGCAGAUCGCAAAGCGUGUCGGAAAGCGUGCGAGGAAGUGUCCAUAAUUCAGCUCGAUCAAAGGCGAAGUUUACUUUUGGAGUGACAACUACACCGUGUAGAGUGGUUCGGUACUUCUCAUUCUUAGCGCUAGAUCACCGCCACGCUUUGACCUAUUGCGUAAAAUAUUGCGUAAGGUUCUUGCUCUCGCGGGCAGAUACGCUUCUUUAAUUCAAAGAACGUCAAAGUCCAUUAAAUGUACUAUUCUGUCGACACACAGCCUGCUAAAUUUAAAAAGAGAUAUUUUAUCUUUCCACUAUUUGUAUAUUUGUAUACUUUUUUUUUUAUAAGAGCAAAAAUUACCGUUGGUAUUCGAGAAGGGGUUAAAGUUGCGCGCGGUUGUGAAUACAUCACACGCUCGUUUCAGCGGAGGCAUCCACGGCCGAUUCUGUCGUAGUCACCCGUAAUUACGCACAUCCCUCUGAAUACCCGCCGACAUGUUAUUAUCGGCGAAAUGCGCGUUCUCCUUGGCAAAACGCUCAUUUGUCACGUGUGCCGGGAUAGAAGGGGUGAAGGGCGCGAAAAUCAUGCUUGGUUCAUUAUAGUCUUAUCGUAUCUGCGCAUUCCCGCCUCUUGGGCGAAGCGAGCGAAACAAAAACCUCAGAUUCUUGCUCGGGUCUGUGGUCUCUUCGUCCUUGUAUUUCCCUGACAAGGAUGCGGACUUUCCGAAUGUCAUAAGUGACUCUCGUGAAAUAGAAUAGCUCGGCGGUGAGAUAGAAUAGCUCUAAAAAGAUAACGGCUAAUUUACAAAGAAUGAGCCUAUUGUGCGAAGCUUAACUAUAUUUCAAGGAUCUUAUUGUUUUGCGGUUUCAGAAUUAUGUUUAGCACACUUAGCAACUGUCUUAUAUUGAUGAAUUCCCAACGGGUUCAAUUUACUUGACGAAGAAGAGAUUUAUUUGAAUUUUUUUUUCAAAUGUAAUUAUUGUGUAAUAAGAUAUAACAUUUUAGAUUUUUUAUUUUAGUCAUAAAAAGACUACAAUGAAAAGUUUUCUUUUACGUAUAUUAUAUAUUUCGUUUCUCACAACGUUAAAUAACAACAAAAUUACCACAUAAAUUAUAAAUAGUUUCGAAUACAUAAACUAAUAUAUAAAAAAAAAGAUUUCUAUAAAGAUUAGAAUUUUAUGUAACAUUUACCAAAUUUAAUGAUAUAAUAUAAGAAGAGUUAUGAUCGAGAGAAUCUAUUGAUAUUUUUUACUUAAAGGAUUUAUAAUUCACUUUGGAACACUUUUUAUUCAUAUAUAUGUGUGUGAAGAACAAUUUAUAUUUUACUAUUUAAUUCCAUUAUUAUCAAUAAAAUGCAAUAUCGUUUAAUGAAUUAAAAGGGUGUAUCGGAUUAUGACAUGCGUCUGUGGUAUCUCGUUUUACUACUCGAAUCCGGCUGAGGCCGGUGAUGCAUUGAGUGCAGUCAUCGAAGUCUCCGGACGAGAUUCGGCGCGCCAUGUCCUGCGCGAGCGUUGAAGUCUCUUAUAGUGCCUCGUUGUUAAACGGCGGCGCUCGUAAGCAUAAUGGUUCUCAACUGGUUCACCCGAGAUUCAUUCAGAGAAACGUCAAUGUUGGAUCUAUUCACGCACGCGUAUAUAUAUAUACACGUACGUGUCUACACGUGCGCGCUUGUAGAUCGUCACUACCUGUUCGCCGAGAGAGAGACCGGUCAGCUCUUGCCAGUUGCGUACGUCUCACCAAAGCAAAUAUACCGGUGUGUUUACGUCUGGAUGGAAAAAUGCGACGAGGCAAAUGAAAGAAGCGACCGGCGAUACAUGUGUAUGUGUGUACGCGUGUGUGUGUCUAAUGAGAUUGAUCUUUGGAUUAUUUUGUUGGAAUAAUUCGGGUGGUCUUUUCAUUUUAGAUGUAUAUGUUGUACACGCUUUGUGAAAUAAUAUGUGAGGUAAUGUAAAAAAAUAAACAAUAUUAUACGCAUUUCUACUUAUAAGAUAUGGACUUUUCUCUUCCCAUUUCAUUCUUAAGAUAAGACAUUUAAAUUGAAGGAGUUUUAUGAAAAAAAAAAAAA